This 253-nucleotide ribosomal RNA is filed under the name uncultured bacterium. RNAcentral's name for it is "partial 16S ribosomal RNA". It matches the Rfam family "Bacterial small subunit ribosomal RNA", at positions 524 to 776 of the family's 1533-position model. The record is from RNAcentral.
UACAGAGGGUGCAAGCGUUAAUCGGAAUUACUGGGCGUAAAGGGUGUGUAGGCGGUUCUUUAAGUUUGGUGUGAAAUCUCCCGGCUCAACCGGGAGGGUGCGCCGAAUACUGAGGGACUAGAGUGUGGGAGAGGAAAGUGGAAUUCCUGGUGUAGCGGUGAAAUGCGUAGAUAUCAGGAGGAACACCGGUGGUGUAGACGGCUUUCUGGACCAUAACUGACGCUGAGACACGAAAGCGUGGGUAGCAAACAGG